RNAcentral lists this ribosomal RNA (454 nucleotides) under uncultured Burkholderia sp. RNAcentral describes it as "bacterial SSU rRNA". It matches the Rfam family "Bacterial small subunit ribosomal RNA", at positions 923 to 1382 of the family's 1533-position model. Lineage: Bacteria; Pseudomonadati; Pseudomonadota; Betaproteobacteria; Burkholderiales; Burkholderiaceae. The record is from RNAcentral.
GCACAAGCGGUGGAUGAUUGUGGUUUAAUUCGAUGCAACGCGAAAACCUUACCACCUUUGACAUGGCAGGAAUCCUAAAGAGAUUUGGGAGUGCUCGAAAGAGAACCUGCACACAGGUGCUGCAUGGCUGUCGUCAGCUCGUGUCGUGAGAUGUUGGGUUAAGUCCCGCAACGAGCGCAACCCUUGUCCUUAGUUGCUACGCAAGAGCACUCUAAGGAGACUGCCGGUGACAAACCGGAGGAAGGUGGGGAUGACGUCAAGUCCUCAUGGCCCUUAUGGGUAGGGCUUCACACGUCAUACAAUGGUCGGUACAGAGGGUUGCCAAGCCGCGAGGUGGAGCUAAUCCCAUAAAACCGAUCGUAGUCCGGAUCGCAGUCUGCAACUCGACUGCGUGAAGUCGGAAUCGCUAGUAAUCGUGAAUCAGAAUGUCACGGUGAAUACGUUCCCGGGCCUU